AUGCUGGCCCCAUGGCCAUGCGCGCCACCACCGGAUCCCCUUGCAGUCGCGCCGUACGUGCUGCACCACAACACCCACAGCCUAUGCAUACCAUGCUCGCGGCCGAGCUCCGCCUCCGGCGCCGCCCUUUCUCCCUUCUCCCCCCGCCAGCCGCACCACCGCUCCUACGCUCCCCUGCUGCCUCCUUCCGACCAAAACCGCGACCUGCACCUGCUUCGCGCUGCUGCUCGUCCGAUGUGGCCCUGCAGCCACUCUCGCUUUGUGCUGCACAAGCACUACUGCCUGCCAAUGCGCCACUGCUCCCCGGCCGACCGCACAGCCACCCCCGAGGAGUAG
This 336-nucleotide ribosomal RNA is filed under the name Triticum aestivum (bread wheat). RNAcentral's name for it is "partial small subunit ribosomal RNA". Lineage: Eukaryota; Viridiplantae; Streptophyta; Magnoliopsida; Poales; Poaceae. The record is from RNAcentral.